RNAcentral lists this ribosomal RNA (292 nucleotides) under uncultured bacterium. Its description in RNAcentral is "partial 16S ribosomal RNA". It matches the Rfam family "Bacterial small subunit ribosomal RNA", at positions 505 to 796 of the family's 1533-position model. The record is from RNAcentral.
GUGCCAGCAGCCGCGGUAAUACAGAGGUCUCAAGCGUUGUUCGGAUUCAUUGGGCGUAAAGGGUGCGUAGGUGGCAUGGUAAGUCGGAUGUGAAAUCCCGGGGCUCAACCCCGGAACUGCAUUCGAUACUGCUGCGCUAGAGUACUGGAGAGGAGAUUGGAAUUUACGGUGUAGCAGUGAAAUGCGUAGAUAUCGUAAGGAAGACCAGUGGCGAAGGCGGAUCUCUGGACAGUUACUGACACUGAGGCACGAAGGCCAGGGGAGCAAACGGGAUUAGAAACCCUCGUAGUCC